Molecule: long non-coding RNA, 6927 nt
Filed under: Olea europaea subsp. europaea
Lineage: Eukaryota; Viridiplantae; Streptophyta; Magnoliopsida; Lamiales; Oleaceae
Source: RNAcentral
CACGUCAUAGCUUGAAGUCAUUUUAUCCCCAUCCCAAAUCUCUCAAACCCUAAGUGCUUGAACGAAGAAGAUCACGAAAAUUCCCAAGUCAAUUGGCCAAGCUCCAUCACUAAAUCCCCUAAAUGAUUGUGAAAUUUACCAAGCUCUUCUAAACCUCUAACCCCCAAAUUCCCCAAAUCUCCCAAUAUCUGAAUCACGAAAUAAAUAAAAUUAAUUAGCCAAACUGCAUCUCGUCAUUGUCGACCAUUGGAAGCGGCCAAAUCAUAUCUCAAGUUAAAAAAUAAAUAAAAUCAAUUUUCAUCUCUUGUUUGUUGGAAACGUUGAUGUGCUAUGAAGGUGACUUUCAUCUCUUCUAGUAACCCAUUUGAGCUUGAGCGAGUAAGUGAGAUCAAGGACCACAGCUUUACUUAGCUCCUUGACACUAUCGCAGUUGCAGUUUGCCCAACUUCGACCGCACAUUGUAAAUAUUAAUUCAAGUUUAAGUUGUAAAUUUCUUUUCAUUGUAAUAUUUAUUUCAGUUGUAAAAUAGCUCUGAUAUUGGUAAACGUUUAUUAUGAUUCCUUGUCUUUUAAACGUCUACUCCUGUCACUUAGAUUUUUGUUCAGAAUGUUAUUAUAGGGGGUAUUAGUCAUUCAAAAAUCUUUCAAACUCACUGGUGUCCGUCCCAUGCACCAGCAAUUGUAAUUUUUUGCUUUCGUCAAUUGUAAUGUUCAGUUUUCAUCAAUCAAUGUUCAAUUUACUUUCAAUGUAUUCAAAUUCUCUAUUGUAAGCUUUCUACAAAAUUGUAAUCAAAUUUUCUUUCGUCCCGAUGCGAUCGAGAAAAGGGGGAAGGUAGUCUAACAGAGCAAACUACUGCUGCACGGUGUCCCUUUCUGUGUCAAGAAGAAAGGCACCCCGUGAAAGUUGGUAUCAGAGCUGCGGCUCACGAUCCUCGAUAAGAAAGCUAUGGAUCUAAUUACAUCCCACACCACUAAAGUGGUAGAGCCUCAAAAGAAGGGUUAGUACUAAACAGCGCGUGGUUGCGCUUGAUGAGACAACUACUAGGUUGUGCUAUGCUUUGGAAGGCCUUGAGGAAAAAGUCGAGAUGGCCAAAUUCGAGAUUCGUGGAUUACACAUCCAACUGGAUGAAAGCCAAAGGGCUUGCGCAGUAAUGACUGAAGCUGCUGCAAUCAUUCCUAAUCUGCAGGAUGAAAUGGAAGCGUUGAGAGCUCAAUUGCGGGUACUCCAACGUGCGGUGGGCAAUGGGUACGCUCCUGCACCUGAGUAUGCUCCUAGACUCAGAAUUCCUGAACCGUGUACCUAUGGAAGGGCACAUGAUGCAAAAGAAGUCGAAAACUUCUUAUUUGAUAUGGAACAGUACUUUCUCGCAGCUUCGAUUCGGUAACCACAGCUACCAUGUAUCUAGGUGGAGAUGCAAAACUAUGGUGGCGAACCAAAUAUGCUGACAUUCAAGCCCAUAGGGUUCGAAUAGAUUCUUGGGAUCUCCUCAAAGAAGCGAUCAGAUCGCAGUUUUUCCCGAAAAAUGUCGAGUAUCAGGCUCGACGGGUACUUCGAGACCUGAAACACACGAGCUCUAUCAGGGAGUAUGUGAAAUCCUUCUCAGGGCAUAUGCUGAAUAUUCGAGAUAUGUCGAAAAAAGAUAAGCUCUUCACCUUCAUGGAAGGGUUGAAACUGUGGACAAGCACGAAACUUCAAAGACAGAAGGUUACUAAUUUGAGCACGGCCAUGGGAGCCGCUGAAUGCUUGAACGACUACCAAACAGAAUCUAGAAAAGAUCGACCUUUGGGGAAUAAUCAAGCAAUUGGAGGUGGUAACAGAUCUUAAAAACCCAGCUCGAACCCAAAUGGGGGAGAGCGUUACUCUCAGAAUAGAUAAGGAGCCUAUCAAAGUACCCGUGGCUCUUAUGGAAACUAUCAUAGUAGCCGUCAAGGAAAUUUUAACGGCAGCAACAGUAACAACUGGAACAAAGGAAAAGCAACGGAGGGACGAACUGAUGCCACUCUCAAAUUGAAAUGCUUUUUAUAUGAAGGACCUCAUCGGGUGUCGAAGUGUCUUCAAAAGUGGAUGGUGAAUGCAUACGACAGUUAGCAAGUGACGGUUCAAGUUCAAAGCAAGAGGCCCCACAGGCUAAUUGUCAUAGCGAGACUAACUCUGAAGAGGAUGAGGACGUAGUUGGGACAUUUUCACAUCGGUGCAACACACUAUCGCAUUGGGUUGCUGAAAAGGAUGAUGUCCCAUUGAAAGAGGCAAAGAUGGAAAAAGCGAAGGCUCGAAUUUGUAGGGCCAAAGGCUUAAUGUACAUUGAUGUAAAAAUCAAUGGGAAGCCAAUCAGGGCUAUGGUGGAUACUGGUGCUACCCAUAACUACCUUGCAUGUACCGAAGUAGAGCGGUUCGGACUUGUUCUAGAAAAGGGUAGUGGAAAAGUCAAAGCAAUCAACUCCGCUGCUCAACCAAUAGCUGGAGUAGCGAAAUCGGUGUUGAUCAAAGUAGGUCCUUUUGAGGGAAGGACAAAUUUAUCUGCAGUUCAGAUGGAUGAUUUCAAGCUUAUUCUGAGAUUGAAAUUUCUUCGGGAUAAUAAGACAGCAGUGUUACCAUAUUCCGACUCGUUAAUGAUUAUGGGUAAUAAGCCGUGUAUUAUCCCUACACAAGUUGGGAGGAUGGGCGAGAAGAGUAUCUCAGCCAUGCAAUUUAGUAAGGGUUUCAAGAGAAAUGAACCCUCUUUUUUAUGCACUCUAAGAUUAGAGGAGAUCGAAGAGGCGAAUGGUCCAAUUCCAAAACCCGUUAAAAGGCUUAUUCAGGAAUUUGAGGACAUCAUGCUGGAAGAAUUACCAAAGAAAUUACCACCAAGAAGGACGAUUGAUCAUGAGAUUGAACUUAUUCCAGGCACCAAACCUCCUGCCAGGGCACCAUACCGUAUGUCUCAGCCUGAGCUUGAAGAGCUUAGGAAGCAAUUGGGAAAAAUGUUGGAGAGUGGAAUCAUUGUGCCUGCGAAGUCACCAUACGGAGCUCCUGUAUUUUUUCAGAAAAGGCCGAUGGUUCUCUUAGAAUGUGCUGCGACUAUCGAGCCUUGAACAAGAUUACUGUAAAGAAUAGCUAUCCUAUCCCACUGGUUGUGGAUUGCUUCAAUCGACUGAGUAGGGUGAAGUAUUACACAAAAACUAAUCUUAGGUUCGGAUACUGGCAAGUUCGGAUCAAAGAGGGAGACGAAGCAAAGACUACGGUGGUAAUCAGAUAUGGAGCCUUUGAAUUUAAAGUGAUGCCUUUUGGCUUGAUAAACGCUCCAGCAACAUUUUGUACUAUGAUAAAUCAGGUACUUCACGGGUUCUUAGAUGAUUUUGUCGUGGUAUACUUGGAUGAUAUAGUAAUCUACAGCGAGACAUUGGAGGAACAUGUCCAGCAUGUGAGGCAAGUUUUUAAUCGGCUACAGGAGAAUGAACUUUAUGCUAAGCCAUCUAAAUUCUCAUUUGCUCAGACAUCUAUCAGUUUCUUGGGUCACAUCAUUGAAUAAGGUAAAAUCCGCAUGGAUUCGAAAAAGGUUACAGCUAUCAAAGAUUGGCAACCACCAAAAAUCGUACAUGAUGUACGUUCAUUUCUUGGGUUAUGCAAUUACUAUCGAAGAUUUGUGAAAGGCUACUCAGAAAUUGCACUGCCACUUACUGAAUUGACAAAGAAGGAUAAGGAUUGGGAUUGGUUAUCCCAAUGCCAGGGUGCUUUUGAAAGGUUGAAGAAGUCCAUGUGGAAGAACCCGAUUUUAGCCUUACCAGAUAUGGCUAAACCAUUUGAAGUUCAUAUAGAUACUUCAGAUUUUGCACUUGAUGGAGUCCUCAUGCAAGAAGGACAUCCGAUAGCAUAUGAGAGCCGAAAGUUAAACCAAACAGAACGUCGUUACUCGGCAUAUGAAAAGGAAUUGUUGGUAGUAGUCCAUUAUCUCAGAGGAUGGCAUCACUAUCUGCUUGGGUCUCCAUUUAUUGUGAAGACAGAUAACACUGCAGUUAGUCACUUUAUGUCCCAAUCAAAACUAUCAAGCAAACAGGCUCAUUGGCAGGAAUUCCUUUCAGAGUUCAAUUUUAUUUUAGAGGAUCGUCCCGGCUCUAGUAACCAUGUUGCUGAUACUCUUAGUCGACGGGCUGAUUUAGCUGUCAUCUGCUCCGAAGCUGCUCUUUCAGGGAGCGCAGUCUCCACGAACACUAGAGACCAAAUUCGAGCACUUAUGGAGAAAGACCCGGCUACCCAAUAUUUGAUCGACCUCAUCAAGUAGGGUAAAACUUGACAGUUCUGGCUCGAUGGGGAACUAGUGAAGACAAAGGGAGAACGCCUAUAUGUUCCUAAGGGCGGAGAUCUGAAGAAAUCACUAAUUACAGAAUGCCAUGACACAAUUUGGACAGGGCAUCCCGGAGAGGAACACACUUGUAAACUACUGCAACGUACAUAGUACUGGCCUCAAAUGCGAGACGACAUUACAACAUAUGUAAAAGCCUGUCUUAUUUGUCAGCAAGAUAAGGCAAAUUAUCAGAAAAGGCAGGCUUGCUAGGGCCCCUUUCCAUCCCAACUCGGCCAUUCGAAAGUAGUGUAUCGAUGGACUGCAUUAUUGGGUUGCCAAAAGUUGAGAAUUUUGGCACUAUCAUUGUCGUGGUGGACCGUUUAACAAAAUAUGCAACUUUCAUUGCAGCACCUAAGUAUGUAUCUGCGGAAGAGACAGCUCAACUUUUCUUCAAACAUAUUGUCAAAUACUGGGGGCUGCCUAAGGACAUCGUCAGUAAUCAAGAUCCUCGUUUCACUGGCGUAUUUUGGACUAAGUUGUUCAAACUUCUUGGUUCAAAUUUGAGCAUGAGUUCUAGUUUUCACCCAUAAUCCGACGGAUAGACAGAGCACUUCAAUUCUAUGCUAGAAGAAUAUCUUUGGCACUUUAUCUCUACUUCGCAGAAAAACUGGGUAAAACUUUUGGAUUUGCCCAAAUUUGUUUCAAUGCUCAAAAGAGCUCUUCUACUAAUAAGAGUCCUUUUGAGAUUGUUACUGGCCAGCAACCUCUACUCCCUCAUACAAUGGAUAUCGAACAAAGUACCAAGUCCCCUCAAGCAAAGAACUUUUCUCAAGAGUGGAAACGAAAUAUUGAAAUUGCUCGAAGUUAUCUUAAGAAAGCUCUAAAACGGUAUAAAAAGGCUGUAGAUCUGAAGCACCAUUUCAAUAAAUUCAAUGUUGGAGAUCUGGUAAUGGUUAAGCUUCCCCACAGAAAUGUUUACAAACCAACAAGAGGGAAGGACUCAAGAUUGUCGCCAAAAUAUAUUGGACCAUUACCCAUCGUGAAGAGGAUUGGAAGAGUUGCAUACAGAGUUGAACUCCUUUCAUGGUGUAAAAUUUAGGAGGUCCUUCAUGUUAGUAUGUUGAAGCCAUACUUUGUGGAUAAGGAGGACGCAUCUAGAAAUGAGCCAAAGCGACCUGUAUUUGAACUGAAGAGAGCUGGAAAGAAGGUUGCUGAAACUAUUCUUGACCAUCGAAUCACUUGAACUUCUAAAAAAGAUCAUCGGGAGUACUUGGUCAAAUGGAUGGAAUGCAGCAGUGAGGAGAAUACUUGGAAAAGAGGAAAAGAUCUCGGAACCUUCAAACCAUUAAUUGAAGCAUAUCAUGCAUUGAUAGCACCGAGGACGUCACCAAAACAAAUAGGGGAGAAUGUCAAGGAUGGCAGCUUUACUUAGCCCUUUGACACUAUCUCAGCCACAGUUUACCCAACUUCGGCCGCACAUUGUAAAUAUUAAUUCAAAUUUGAGUUGUAAUUUUUUUGUCAUUGUAAUAUUUAUUUCAGUUGUAAAAUAGUUCUGAUAUUGGUAAACGUUUAUUAUGAUUCCUCGUCUUUUAAACGUCUACUCCUGUCACUUAGCUUUUUUUUCGAAAAGCUAUUAUAGGGGGUAUUAGUCAUUCAAAAAUCUUUCAAACUCACUGGUGUCCGCCCCCUGUACCAGCAAUUGUAAAUUUCUGCUUUCGUCAAUUGUAAUGUUCAAUUUUCAUCAAUCAAUGUUCAAUUUACUUUUAAUGUAUUCAAAUUCUCUAUUGUAAACUUUCUACAAAAUUGUAAUAAAAUUUUCUUUCGUUGCGACGCGAUUGAGAAAAGGCGGAAGGUAGUUUAGCGGAGCAGACUAUUGUCACACGAUAUCCCUUUCUGUGCCAAGAAGAAAGGCACCCCGUGAAACAUGGUGCCGCAGGUGGUAGUGUAGAGGGAAAUUUUGGGGAAAAUGUUUUCCUUCUUUUACCUGUUAAUUUCACUUUCCCUGCAUUAUUCUUCCAUUUAUCUUUCAUAUCUGUUAUUAUUUGUCGUUUCCCUUUCCAUUUCUGUUAUUUUCAUGUUUCUCUUCUUUUAUUUGUUAACUUGAGAUAUGAAUUUACAAAAAUGAAAUAAAUAUGAAUUGAGAUAUGAGUAUGAAUUUAUUUGCCUAAUUUCUUUCUUUUCUAUGUUAAAUGGAGAUGAAUAUAAAUUUAGGAACUUUGGCAUUCUAGAGAAUCUAUGUUCAUAAAGCCUGUUCACUGAAGGGCAAUCCAAGUUGAAGAUACAUCUUCUAUGUUUAAGACUGCUGCUAAAAUAAUUGAAGAACACGACGUUGAGGUCUCUCUCCUAAAUAUUACUAUCCGCAAGAGAAAAAUGAGAUAUGGAAAAGAAAGGGAAACAAAAGAAAGGAGCUCCAUGAAAUGUUUCUGCCUAUUUUAUUUCGUAACAAUGUUUCCUGUAAUUGUUCUUGGUGUAAAAGUUCAUUGUAAUCGUGAUAUGUUAUUCGAUCAUUACUGUAUAUAUGUAUUUAUUAACAAGUUCGAACAAUAUGAAUUACCAAUAUAGAACAAUCUCUUGUAUCAAUUAAUAUGAAGUAGAUAUUGUGAUGUAUUAUUACGCUUGCAUCUAAACAUAAUCUUCGUGCCUUCGCAUUUUCAUUUGUUCUUGGC